CUGAGAUUGCGCGUGCGCGUUGGAAGGGGAGCUCUGCAAGUGGGCGGGGUCCUGCCUCCUUUGCCAAGCGGCAGGUACAGCGAGGCUCAGUUCUUUUGUCCGCAGCCCGGAUUCGCGGUUCUUUUUGAAGCUUUGUUUAAGCCCUCUCGCGGGAGUUGCAAAAGAUCCUCACUAAGAGACAAUAGAAAGUUAUGGCUUGAUUGACCCGGGAAUCCUAGUAUAGCUGGUAGGCAUGUAGGAGGCCUUUCCCGGUAGUGAUGUAUGGAAGUGAGAGCUGGACCAUAAAGAAGGCUGAUCACUUGAUGCUUUUGAAUUCUGGUGCUGGAGGAGACUCUUGAGAGUCCCAUGGACUGCAAGAAGAUCAAACCUCUCCAUUCUGGAGGAAAUCAGCCCUGAGUGCUCACUGGAAGGACAGAUUCUGAAGCUGAGGCUCCAAGACUUUGGCCACCUCCUGAGAAGAGAAGACUCCCUGGAAAAGACCCUGAUGUUGGGAAAGAUGGAGGGCACAAGGAGAAGGGGACGACAGAGGACGAGAUGGUUGGACAGUGUUCUCGAAGCUACCAACAUGAGUUUGACCAAACUGCGAGAGGCAGUGGAAGACAGGAGUGCCUGGCGUGCUCUGGUCCAGGGGGUCACGAAGAGAUGGACAUGACUAAAUGACUCCUCAACAACAACAACAUGUGGGAGGCCACCCCAAGUGGCAUACACGUGGUUCUCUGCCUCUCCUCAUUUAAUCCCCACAACAACCCUGCGAGGUCGCCUAGAGACCCAAGGUCACCCAGUGAGUUUCAUGGAUGAGUAGGGAUUUGAACCCAGGCCCUAGUCCUCCUCCAGCACACAAAUUCCCCCAACCCCAUGCAUGGGCUCCCCAGCCCCCUCUCGCCUGGCCCUGCUCCUUGGCCACCUGCCAAGCACACAUGGGCGAAGGAUAAGAACAUCAGGAGCUGCCCCUUAGCCCAUCCAGCUCAGUAGUGCUGGCACAGACUGGCAGCAGAACCUCCCCAGGGUGCCAGACAAGGGCCUUUCCUACACCUGGAGAUGCCCCUGGAAAUUGAACUUGAGACCUUCUGCCUGCAAAGGAGAUGCUCUGCCCCUGAGCUACGGCCCUUCAUCUAAAAACAAAGUGAAGAUUCUAGUCCUCAUGUUUUUGAAUCAAGGGCCAGUCACUGCCUCUCAGCUUAACCUACCUCACAGGGUUGUCGUGGGGACUGAUUGGAGAGGGAGAGAACUCUGUACGCCAGC
Podarcis lilfordi (Lilford's wall lizard) is the source of this 1242-nucleotide non-coding RNA. The record is from the annotation of a GenBank genome assembly. NCBI's taxonomy places the organism in Eukaryota, Metazoa, Chordata, Lepidosauria, Squamata, Lacertidae.